RNAcentral lists this ribosomal RNA (425 nucleotides) under uncultured bacterium. RNAcentral describes it as "bacterial SSU rRNA". It matches the Rfam family "Bacterial small subunit ribosomal RNA", at positions 30 to 417 of the family's 1533-position model. The record is from RNAcentral.
AUUGAACGCUGGCGGCAUGCUUUACACAUGCAAGUCGAACGGCAGCACAGCAGAGGUAACUCUGUGGGUGGCGAGUGGCGAACGGGUGAGUAAUACAUCGGAACGUACCCUGUUGUGGGGGAUAACUACGCGAAAGCGUAGCUAAUACCGCAUACGCCCUGAGGGGGAAAGCGGGGGACCCUAAAUAGAGCGCACUGGGGAGUGCGUUGUAUUUAGGGCCUCGCGCAAUAGGAGCGGCCGAUGUCGGAUUAGCUAGUUGGUGAGGUAAAGGCUUACCAAGGCGACGAUCCGUAGCUGGUCUGAGAGGAUGAUCAGCUACACUGGGACUGAGACACGGCCCAGACUCCUACGGGAGGCAGCAGUGGGGAAUUUUGGACAAUGGGGGCAACCCUGAUCCAGCCAUGCCGCGUGAGUGAAGAAGGCCU